Molecule: non-coding RNA, 1268 nt
Organism: Paramuricea clavata
Lineage: Eukaryota; Metazoa; Cnidaria; Anthozoa; Malacalcyonacea; Plexauridae
Source: the annotation of a GenBank genome assembly
GUUGGAUUGCGGUACGUUUGGGUCCGUAUACCUAGCAAAAUACACUGGAAAACCAGAAAAAGUGGUUGCCAAAAAGAAUAAUGUCGAGUCCAUUGACUCGAAAUCCUGUUUCGUGAAAGAAGCCUCACUGUUGAACAGUACAAAAGGCAACAGGAACAUAAUCCGGUUCUUUGAAUUUUCAAUAAUGAUGGAGUAUUCUUGUAUAUGAUGUAUGACAUACUUUAUGCCAAAGAAUGCAAGCCAAAAAGCUUCGGCAAACUCAUCUUCAUUAAGGGAAUAAGGGAUGUGCUACUGUAGUGUUGAUUUGAAACUAAUAUGUUUCCUGCCGGCAUUCCAUUUGGCACAUGUUGGCAGCAAGUCUGCGAAGGAGUCAAAGUCAAACUCGUCGUCUACGAAAUGGACAAAAUCUUCUGGAGUGCAAAGACUUUUUGCAACUCCAGACGGGCGAAAAUCGAAGCAAGAAUACUCCAUGCAUCAUCAUUGAAAAUUCAAGGAACCGGAUUAUGUUCCUGUGGCCUUUUGUACCGUUCAACAGUGCGGUUUUUACUAAUAGAGUCCAGUACAGUUUAAUAAAAACCUCUCCCUUGGCUUUUAACCUUCAUAUAAUAGUGGAGCUAAUUAACUAAACUCAUUGACUGUUCAGUCGUUGAUGUACAUUGUUUAUUGCAAGCAGUUAUUCUGAUCCAUUCCUCAAGAAUUUAACUUCACAACGGCAGAGUUUGGCAAAGUAGUGCCAGUAGAGUUUAGUCGAAUCCUUCACAUCAAGGCUGUAGUUUUAGUUGUUUUAAGAUAUAACGAGAUUACGCAUUAUCUUGAUGCAUGUUGCAUUAGAUUGAUGAAUGAGAUUUAAGCUUUCGUAAAUACUGUGAUAUUAAACCACCAUAGACAGCAAAGAAACAGGAAUGUUUGAUAUUUAAUCCAUGCAAUUUAAAAAGCACCACCGAUUUCCUGUCGAGUUUCAAUGCAUAUUUCUGUUGCUGUACUUCGCCUCGUUGGUUCAUUUCUUGUUCCGCUUUUACAACGCGUACUUGAAUUGAAGUCUUCCUCAAUUAAAGAAGAUGUUUUCAAAGUAUUUUCAUUUUGUAAUACUGACUGUGAUUUUCGUGUUACUCCAAGGUACGUUUUCUCUCAUUUAUAACAUGCAUUUAUAUUUCAUGCGCUUUCAAACACGCAGUCACUUCCGUGCUGAAUCUAUAACCUCGAAUCUCGAUCAUCAUGAACUAGUGGCAUGAUAUGAAUCUAAACAAGACGCUUUACGGAGCAUUAAU